RNAcentral lists this ribosomal RNA (484 nucleotides) under uncultured bacterium. Its description in RNAcentral is "partial 16S ribosomal RNA". It matches the Rfam family "Bacterial small subunit ribosomal RNA", at positions 30 to 507 of the family's 1533-position model. The record is from RNAcentral.
AUUGAACGCUGGCGGCAGGCCUAACACAUGCAAGUCGAGCGGAUGAAGGGAGCUUGCUCGUGGAUUCAGCGGCGGACGGGUGAGUAAUGCCUAGGAAUCUGCCUGGUAGUGGGGGAUAACGUCCGGAAACGGGCGCUAAUACCGCAUACAUCCUGAGGGAGAAAGUUGGGGAUCUUCGGACCUCACGCUAUCAGAUGAGCCUAGGUCGGAUUAGCUAGUUGGUGGGGUAAAGGCCUACCAAGGCGACGAUCCGUAACUGGUCUGAGAGGAUGAUCAGUCACACUGGAACUGAGACACGGUCCAGACUCCUACGGGAGGCAGCAGUGGGGAAUAUUGGACAAUGGGCGAAAGCCUGAUCCAGCCAUGCCGCGUGUGUGAAGAAGGUCUUCGGAUUGUAAAGCACUUUAAGUUGGGAGGAAGGGCAGUAAGUUAAUACCUUGCUGUUUUGACGUUACCAACAGAAUAAGCACCGGCUAACUUCGUG